UACGUAGGGCGCAAGCGUUAUCCGGAAUUAUUGGGCGUAAAGAGCUCGUAGGCGGUUUGUCGCGUCUGCCGUGAAAGUCCGGGGCUCAACUCCGGAUCUGCGGUGGGUACGGGCAGACUAGAGUGCAGUAGGGGAGACUGGAAUUCCUGGUGUAGCGGUGAAAUGCGCAGAUAUCAGGAGGAACACCGGUGGCGAAGGCAGGUCUCUGGGCUGUAACUGACGCUGAGGAGCGAAAGCAUGGGGAGCGAACAGG
This 253-nucleotide ribosomal RNA is filed under the name uncultured bacterium. Its description in RNAcentral is "partial 16S ribosomal RNA". It matches the Rfam family "Bacterial small subunit ribosomal RNA", at positions 524 to 776 of the family's 1533-position model. The record is from RNAcentral.